This 324-nucleotide unclassified non-coding RNA is filed under the name Hevea brasiliensis (rubber tree). The record is from RNAcentral. Lineage: Eukaryota; Viridiplantae; Streptophyta; Magnoliopsida; Malpighiales; Euphorbiaceae.
AACUUCGUCUUUAGUAUAAAAGAAUUGUCAAAUGAUAAUAAAUAAAACAAGUAAAGAAUGAAGGUAUUUUGGCAAUGAAAAUGGGGAAUGACACAUCUACAUAUCUUUGCCAUUCCUAGUAAUUAGAUAUGGAAAUUUUAUCUUGGCCCUAAUUUGGAGUGAAAACUUCUUUCCGUCAAAAGGAACAUCGGUUAGAUGAUUACGGUAUCCCCUGUUUUCCUAUUGUGUAGCACAAAUCAAUAGCAGUUUUUGUAACACUAAAUACAAAUCAAACUUAGAUAAUAACAAUUGAAAUAUUGGCAAUGAAUUGGGAAAAAGGGAAAA